CAGAAACCAUUUUCCCCGCCUACAAUUACCGCCAAAAAAAAAAUCCGACCCUCGCACGAAAACGUCACGCCAGUCCCCUCAAUAAACGCAUUUUUAUUUCCACGUCCGCCAUUAAUGUAUCCGCACGGGGAAAAUAUAGAAUAAAUAGUUUUUUUGGUGGCGGCUUUUUUUUUUUCUUCCCCCGAACAGACGGGCGGAGAAGUCUUUCCCUCAGCAGUCAUAGCAGCAGCAGCCGCCCCUGUGUAGUCGCCAUGUGUAAGAUGGCCGCCAUGCAGGAGGAGGCGGUGGCGGCGGAGGAGAGCUGAGCUGGCGGCGGGAGCAGAAAUGAAUCAUGAACCUAACUUGAUACUACUGUACUACAGCAUCACAUCACAUGCUCAAGAGAAGUAACUUUUAAGGCGCUGUUUGGAACGCAGAAGACCUUACCGACAGGUGGAUUGACACUUGAAGUUUCUAACAAACUCUAUAGCACUAUGGCAAGUAAACGGAAAACAAAAACUCCUUGCAUGGUCCUUGCAAGCGAGCACGAUACCGAUCUAGGAGUCAACUCUGAUGGAGAGGAAAGUCCACCUUUGCCUACUCCUGCGGAGCAACCCGUGCCAGAGAGCGCAGUGCCUGAGAGCAUAUCAAGCGAAGACGAUGCACUAGAACCCAAUGAUUCUGACAAUCAGCAGAAUAAAGCUGUAGAAGGUGGUUACGAAUGUAAAUACUGUUCAUUUCAGACAACUGACUUAAAUAUGUUUACCUUUCAUGUGGAUUCUGAGCAUCCCAACGUUGUAUUAAAUUCUUCCUAUUUCUGUGUGGAGUGUAAUUUUCUCACGAAACGUUACGAUUCACUUUCUGAGCACAACACAAAGUAUCAUCCCGGAGAGGAGAACUUUAAGUUGACUAUGGUUAAGCGCAAUAAUCAGUCAAUAUUUGAACAGACCGUUAAUGAUCUAACAUUCGAUGGGAGCUUCGUCCAAGAAGAAAACCAGGAACAAUCAGAGUCAAACUCAUCUGCGAUAUCCAUCAGUAAAACCCCAAUAAUGAAAAUAAUGAAGGAUAAGUCAGAGAAGAAACGAAUCAGUGUACAGCAAAAUUCCUCCGAAGAUGGCACGGAAGAAAACGACUUGAUAACAGAGAAUGAGCCUAAGCCAAAAUCACAGGAUACCAGAGAGUCAAAGCCAACUGUGGUCGCUCCUGAGCCUGUGAAAACUAGCGUUACGAUUGUGACAAGUGCCCAAGAAUUACCAAGUACUGUUCUUACUCCUGCGAAUGUUCUUCAACCAGGAGUGGCACAAAUGAUUACGACUGUACAGACGCAGCAAAACAUCCUCUCGAAAGUCCUUAUCCCCAUCAAUAGCAUUCCUACAUACAAUGCUGCAUUAGACAGCAACCCUCUUUUGCUGAGUAACUACAAUAAGUUUCCAUACCCAACAGUUUCUGAGAUCACCCUUCUCGCUUCACAAUCUAAAUGCACAGAAGAACAAAUAAAAAUCUGGUUUUCUGCACAACGACUAAAGCAUGGUGUUAGCUGGACACCCGAAGAAGUAGAGGACGCUCGGCGAAAGCAAUUUAAUGGCACUGUACACACGGUCCCACAGACAAUAACUGUUUUCCCAGCUCAGAUUUCUUCCGCUGCCAAUGGCUUGCCUUCCAUUUUACAGACGUGCCAAAUAGUUGGCCAGCCUAGCCUCGUACUUGCGCAAGUUGGAGGAACGGGCACAAUACCAGUGACAACACCAAUAACAUUGACAGUGGCUGGUGUCCCAACUAACGCCCAACUCCACGCAAGCCACCUUCACCAAAUGCAAGCAGUGUCUGAAACAAAGAGGGUUGCUGCCAUUCCCAGUGCGCAGCUACCCAAGCAGGAGCCUACCAUGAUAACAGAUCUGUUUGGUAUGCGCUCCAAGAAAACGAAAGAGCAGUUGACAGCCCUCAAAAUUAGCUAUCUAAAGAACCCGUUUCCAAAUAAUAGCGAAAUUGACCGUUUAAUACGUUUCACAGGAUUGACUAAAGGUGAAAUCAAGAAAUGGUUUAGCGAUACAAGAUACAACCAAAGAAAUUCUAAGGGGAGCCAUGGCAUCCAUUUCCCAAGUGAUCCUAGUGGAACUAUAAUUAUUGAUUCUAGCGAUGAAACCACUGAAUCCCCGACUCCACCGGUAGUCUUGACUUCACAUCGUAGGCAAAACUGGAACGCCUUCCCAGAUUUCACCCCACAGAGAUUCAAAGAAAAGACAGUGGAACAGCUACAGAUUCUUGAGGAAAGCUUCCUUCGAAACGACGUACCUACAGAUGAGGAAUUGAACCGGUUAAGGGUUCUUAGCAAACUGACAAGACGAGAAAUCGACGCUUGGUUCGCAGAAAGGAGGAGGACAGGUGGCAUAAAGGAUGAACCUGUACUUUUUGAUGAGGAGGAAGGAAUUAAAGAAGAAAUGGACCCUGAAAAUGCUUAUGUAAAAGCUGGGGCAGCUCUUGCUAGUAAACUAGGGAAAAAGACCCCAGAGCAGCUGCUUAUGCUUAAGACAUUCUUUGUUCGUAACCAGUGGCCUACAGGAGACGACUACGAUAAGCUGUCGGAGGAGACUGGUCUUGCAAGAAGUGAUGUUGUUGGGUGGUUUGGAGACACCAGGUAUGCUGUUAAAAAUCAUCAUUUGAAGUGGUUCUACCGAUAUCAAGUAAACGGCAGCCUCUCCCCUAAUGCUGUUAAUGGACAGGGCUUUGUACGCAAGAGAGGGCGAGGCAGGCCUAGGGGUAGAGGAAGAGGGAGACCCAGAGGGCGCCCUAAAGGAUCCCGAAGAGCAAAUAGCUGGGAAAGGGCGCCAGCUCCAGUAAAACACAAGACUGGAAAAGCGGUACUUAAAGACUACUACUUAAUGCACAAAUUUCUUAAUGAGGAAGACUUGGAUGAAUUGGUUACAAAAUCUCAGCUGGGUUAUGAGCAGGUGAGGGAAUGGUUUGCAGAACGCCUUCAAAGAGAGGAUGCUGGUUUGGAUCCAUUUGAAAUUGAGGAGGAAGAUGAUCUUCUGGAUGAUCCGGAUGAGGAGGAAGAAAUUGACACUGAUGAGAGUGAUAACUGGGAACCACCGAAACAUCUUAAACGGAGACUUUCAAAAAUGGAAGACUGAAAUGAAGGAAAGUGACAUCAACGGAGGCGAGAACAGUGUUGCAGUGUCCAGUUUACUGUGAAAUACACGGAGAUCCUCUCUCAUAAAAAAAAUAAAAAACACAGAGCGGGGUGGAAGAGGGGUGGAAGAGCGGCGGCGAGCUCUGCCGGAGUGCAGUAGUCAAUCUGCAUGCUGUGCCAAAGUAGCCACACUGCAGAUAGAGGACUUUACUGUAAAUACAGAAUACAUGAUGUGGGCAGCACAUAACCUGUACAAGAAGAUUUUAAUACAUUUUUACUGACUUGUAUUUUUGUUUCUUCACCCCUUUUUUCCCUUUGUAGACUUAAUUUUGUGAUUGAGCAGGAGGGCUGUAAGAUAGACAACACAGUGACCACUAGAUAUUUUUAUUUUAUUUUUUACUUUUUGCAUCAUAUGUAAAACAUAACCAUGUGCUAAUUGAAGAGGCUUGUUUUUAUUUUUAUUUUAUUUUUUUUCCCUUGAGAUGUAAAAAGCUUUGAGUGACCAAACUUUUUAUUUUUUAUUUUGCCGGAUGAGAGGACUACACCGCAUUAAUCAGCAUCAAUCGAUUUAUUCCAUGAUUCCUAUUUGCACCUUUAAAUUAAUGAUUUUUGCUCCCCACACUGGUUAGAUCUCAUGAUACUGUACAAUCUCUACUUACCGUACACAUCACGAAAGUAGUGCAAAUGAUGAAAGUUUUUUUUGUUUUGUUUUUUUAGGUUUUCAAGUGAGAAACUAGAUUUUGGUGUUCUCCUUUGUAUCUUAUUGCUGUCUGUGGGGUUGCCAAGUGUAAAUGUUUUGCAGGAAAACGAUUUUUAUAUUUUUCUUUCCCCCUAAAGUGGCUCUGUAUAUCGGCACGGCAAAAAAAAAAAAAAGACGUGCACCUGCCAAUAAAUGGUGUCUUACAUGUCAUCAAUAUCGGAUGAGUGGGGUUGGGCACUCACACCGAUCAGCUGUUGGCAGCCAAAAGUAACAGAGACAGAAAGAACAGCACACCUCCAUCCACUGUGUUCACUUUACAGAAUAUCCACACGGUGUGGGGGGGGAACAUCUCCAGUGAAAAUUGAUCUGCGGUAUGGAUUUAAAAGGGGUUGUUCACCCUUGGUGAGUAUUUCUUCAGAUUUCACCCCCCCCCCCCUCCCCCCACGUGGCUGGACCUGCAAUGGUAAUCAUACUUGCAUGAUCCCUGCCACUGCAGGUCGAUUUGUUUUAACUCUAUCCAGAGACCUGUCUGUGUAUAGGAUUUAAAAUAUAUUGCCUCCAUGGAGGCAAAAUUCAAUUCACCCAAAAACGUGGGAGACGUCAGUGAAUGAAAUCGGUGUUCAUUUCUGCAUCUUUAAAAACAUUAAAAAUUUGAAAUCUGAAGUCCUGGUUUGGUACCUCGGUACCAAACCUGACUUUUUUAAAGAUGCAGAAUUGAUUACAGUGACUUCAGCUGAAUUUUUUAUUUUUUUGCCUCCACGGAGACAAUACAUUUUAGUGCUGUACAGAGACGGCUCUCCAUACAGCAUUAAAACAAAGUGUUUGAACAAAUUGACUUUGGAUCUAUGAUGUAAAUCUCAAUUUGCUCAACACUAAUUACCACCACAGGUCCAGACAUGCUUGGGGGCUCUGAAGAAACACUCGCCAAGGGUGAACAGCUCCUUUAAAUCCACAACAUAGAUUAACGUUACUUCGCUUUUUUGGAGUUAAUUCCCCACAAACCUGCAGCAAAAUAUGCAAUAAAUCUGCAUGCAGAUUUUGCCAAGGAAUCGCAGCAGCAUCAAAACAAUCCACUCUGCGUGACCGUACCCUAAAUCCAAUUUAAUAAUGUUUAGCUGAAAGACUUAGUCGUAAGGUUAGCCGUCCACUGAUCUCAGAUCUCUGUAGGACUGAUGGGACAGUCCUAAAAUAUGUCCUGAACCCUCCUCAUAUAUUUCCCAUGCUGCGCUGACAUGACUAAUCCUGGAGGGAACGCAUGCCGACUAAAAGUACAUGUGUAGGUAUUGAACUAGUAAAAGCUGAAGAGCAUUGUGAAGCAUGAGAGAUAAGUGUUCCGAACGAUGGGCAGGAUUUCCAUCAGUUGGACCCAAUUGGUUUGUGUGCCAUAGACCCAAAAUUACCAUCAACAGUUAUAACAAUUGUAAUGUUUAGCAGAUCCGUCACUUCAGAUGCCACAAUGAACCUUUGGAAACAGAGUUUUAAAGGGUCGUCCAGUUUGGUCCUUUCCAUUUGCCUUAUUAGAGAAUAUAGAUGUCGUCAUAGCUGACAGGGCCCCUCCUCUAUGCAUUUGCUGUGUUAUACUUAAUGCAACCAUGUACCGGUAAUAAUUUAGUGGAUGCCAUGUAGUACUACUUCUUCCUUGCACUUUUCACGCAGAUCUUCUGCCCACCACAACAGCUAGUCGUCAGGCGUACAUAGGAGCUGAAGUGGGGCGGUUUCAUUCUAAGAAGCCGUUGCUGUAUUGGUAGGCUAGAUGCUUUCUACUUUGUUUUUCUGUAAUCCCAAAACUGCCUUUUAAUUCUGCUGGAACACUUCUUGGUUCUGUACACCUACUGUAGGUUUCCUAAACCACUGCUUUCUUUGAGGUUUUGCCAGUUUAUUUUGUUGAUGUUUCCUAGACAAACUAUUUUGUGGGGUGGAGGAUGAGCGGUUUCUGGUAUUGAUUUCUAAGUUGUACUACUGUACUGCAGAAUUGUAUUUCAUUAAACACCCCAUUUAGUGAGGUUGUGUUUUUCCCCUUUUUUCCACAGUUUCAAAGCCAUUUCAUUGUUUUGUCACAGUUUACGUCAGAGAAAAAUAAACCUAUAUACUUUGUUUAA
This is an RNA transcript of Bufo gargarizans (Asiatic toad), 5908 nucleotides long. It is a transcript of the gene named zinc fingers and homeoboxes 1, with no coding region annotated. Lineage: Eukaryota; Metazoa; Chordata; Amphibia; Anura; Bufonidae. The record is from RefSeq and is a predicted model, not a curated record. The transcript is spliced from 4 exons.